UCCUCGGUAGUAUAGUGGUGAGUAUCCCCGCCUGUCACGCGGGAGACCGAAGUUCGAUUCCCCGCUGGGGAG
Molecule: transfer RNA, 72 nt
Filed under: Stegodyphus mimosarum
Lineage: Eukaryota; Metazoa; Arthropoda; Arachnida; Araneae; Eresidae
Rfam family: tRNA
About the family: Transfer RNA (tRNA) molecules are approximately 80 nucleotides in length.
Source: Rfam by way of RNAcentral